UACGUAGGGGGCGAGCGUUGUCCGGAUUCAUUGGGCGUAAAGAGCUCGUAGGCGGCUUGACAAGUCGGGUGUGAAAACUCCAGGCUCAACCUGGAGAUGCCACUCGAGACUGUUAUGGCUAGAGUCCGGUAGGGGACCAUGGAAUUCCUGGUGUAGCGGUGAAAUGCGCAGAUAUCAGGAGGAACACCGGUGGCGAAGGCGGUGGUCUGGGCCGAUACUGACGCUGAGGAGCGAAAGCGUGGGGAGCGAACAGG
This 254-nucleotide ribosomal RNA is filed under the name uncultured bacterium. Its description in RNAcentral is "partial 16S ribosomal RNA". It matches the Rfam family "Bacterial small subunit ribosomal RNA", at positions 524 to 776 of the family's 1533-position model. The record is from RNAcentral.